Molecule: non-coding RNA, 73 nt
Organism: Schistocerca americana (American grasshopper)
Lineage: Eukaryota; Metazoa; Arthropoda; Insecta; Orthoptera; Acrididae
Source: the annotation of a RefSeq genome assembly
CCUCUGGUAGCUCAGUUGGUAGAGCGGUGGGCUGUAGAUCCAUAGGUCGCUGGUUCAAAUCCGGCCCAGAGGA